Cyprinodon variegatus (sheepshead minnow) is the source of this 189-nucleotide small nuclear RNA. Its record names the gene U2. It matches the Rfam family "U2 spliceosomal RNA". Rfam says of the family: U2 is a small nuclear RNA (snRNA) component of the spliceosome (involved in pre-mRNA splicing). Complementary binding between U2 snRNA (in an area lying towards the 5' end but 3' to hairpin I) and the branchpoint sequence (BPS) of the intron results the bulging out of an unpaired adenosine, on the BPS, which initiates a nucleophilic attack at the intronic 5' splice site, thus starting the first of two transesterification reactions that mediate splicing. Lineage: Eukaryota; Metazoa; Chordata; Actinopteri; Cyprinodontiformes; Cyprinodontidae. The record is from Ensembl.
AUCGCAACCGUCAUUUGGGCUAAAAUUAAGUGUAGUAUCUCUUCUUAUCAGUUUAAUAUUUGAUAUGUCCCCUAUCCGGGGACCAUAUAUUAAAAUGCUUUUUGGAACAGGGAGAUGUAACAAGGCCCUACUCUGUUCACCCACACGUCAACCUGGUAAUGCAGCAUUUCUGGGAAUGAUGCACUUCUU